AGUUGUUGAAGCUGGUGAUGGGUUCUUGGCAAAGAUGACCCCUACAUAAUGACUGCCUUGCUCUGAGAGAAAGGAGCUGUUCUGUCAGGAAAACUCAGGAAGCCUGUGGGAAGACCCAGUGGUGAAGAACUGAAGUCUCCAGCCAGCAGUCAGCAAGAAGCUGGGGUCUGGCAACACCUGUGUGAAUGAGCUUGGAGAUGAGUGCCUUGGCCUGAACCAUGCAGUUUGGAUGGUGGAAUACAAGUCAGGUUUCCAGAGAAGAGCAGAAGUACUUGGGUCAGGAAACCGCUUCAGAAACUGAUUGGAGAAAACGUGAUGAAUGGUGAGUGGGCUGGUGCAAGAGGAUCCUGAAGGCAACCAAGAGGUCUUGCAGAAGCCGUCAGAACCGAAGUGGAGUCACCUGUGUC
Molecule: long non-coding RNA, 407 nt
Filed under: Heterocephalus glaber (naked mole-rat)
Lineage: Eukaryota; Metazoa; Chordata; Mammalia; Rodentia; Bathyergidae
Description: lncRNA (ENSHGLG00100048513.1)
Source: RNAcentral